CACAGCCGGGGCAUGUGCCUGGCAGACAGAGGGCAAAAUCAGGAGGACUGAGAUCUCUGGAUGAUUCUGGUUGUACUUUUAACAUAGUAAGUGGAGAGGAGAAAAUAGCAAGUUCAGUUUUGGACAAGUCUUCUUGAAAAAUGAGAAUGAGUCACUCUGGAAAGCUCCUGCCUGGAGGAAACCGCAGAUGCCACUUCUGUGGGGUCAAUUGUUCCCCUGCAGCAUGACAAACGAGUACUCAAACUUUCCUUUAGGAAAUGAGCAGUGCUUACUGCCUACUGUCAAAAAUAUAUUGGAAAUGGGCCCUCCCUGGUGGCGCAGCAGGUUAAAG
Condylura cristata (star-nosed mole) is the source of this 331-nucleotide long non-coding RNA. RefSeq lists it as uncharacterized. The transcript is spliced from 3 exons. The record is from RefSeq and is a predicted model, not a curated record. Lineage: Eukaryota; Metazoa; Chordata; Mammalia; Eulipotyphla; Talpidae.